This 303-nucleotide ribosomal RNA is filed under the name uncultured delta proteobacterium. Its description in RNAcentral is "bacterial SSU rRNA". It matches the Rfam family "Bacterial small subunit ribosomal RNA", at positions 230 to 523 of the family's 1533-position model. The record is from RNAcentral. Lineage: Bacteria; Deltaproteobacteria.
CCCGCGUACCAUUAGCGUAGUUGGUAGGGUAACAGCCUACCAAGGCAACGAUGGUUAGCUGGUCUGAGAGGAUGGCCAGCCACACUGGAACUGAGACACGGUCCAGACUCCUACGGGAGGCAGCAGUGGGGAAUCUUGCGCAAUGGGGGAAACCCUGACGCAGCAACGCCGCGUGGGUGAUGAAGGCCUUCGGGUCGUAAAGCCCUGUCAGGUGGGAAGAAACGUGCCGAUGCAAAUAGCGUCGGCAUUUGACGGUACUACCGGAGGAAGCACCGGCUAACUCCGUGCCAGCAGCCGCGGUAA